This 477-nucleotide ribosomal RNA is filed under the name uncultured bacterium. RNAcentral describes it as "bacterial SSU rRNA". It matches the Rfam family "Bacterial small subunit ribosomal RNA", at positions 328 to 793 of the family's 1533-position model. The record is from RNAcentral.
UCAGUCGACUCCUACGGGGAGGCAGCAGUGGGGAAUAUUGCACAAUGGGGGGAAACCCUGAUGCAGCCAUGCCGCGUGUGUGAAGAAGGACCUUCGGGUUGUAAAGCACUUUCAGUAGGGAGGAAGGUAGUGUAGUUAACACCUGCAUUAUUUGACGUUACCUACAGAAGAAGCACCGGCUAACUCCGUGCCAGCAGCCGCGGUAAUACGGAGGGUGCGAGCGUUAAUCGGAAUUACUGGGCGUAAAGCGCAUGCAGGCGGCCUGUUAAGUCAGAUGUGAAAGCCCGGGGCUUAACCUCGGAAUUGCAUUUGAAACUGGCAGGCUAGAGUCUUGUAGAGGGGGGUAGGAAUUUCAGGUGUAGCGGUGAAAUGCGUAGAGAUCUGAAGGAAUACCAGUGGCGAAGGCGGCCCCCUGGACAAAGACUGACGCUCAGAUGCGAAAGCGUGGGGAGCAAACAGGAUUAGAUACCCUGGUAG